Molecule: unclassified non-coding RNA, 338 nt
Filed under: soil metagenome
Description: partial contains 5.8S ribosomal RNA, internal transcribed spacer 2, and large subunit ribosomal RNA
Rfam family: 5.8S ribosomal RNA (bases 6-121)
Source: RNAcentral
GAUGAAAGAACGUAGCGAAAUGCGAUAAGUAGUGUGAAUUGCAGAAUUCAGUGAAUCAUCGAAUCUUUGAACGCACAUUGCGCCCCUUGGUAUUCCAUGGGGCAUGCCUGUUCGAGCGUCAUUUGUACCUUCAAGCUCUGCUUGGUGUUGGGUGUUUGUCCCGCCUUUGUGCGUGGACUCGCCUUAAAGCAAUUGGCAGCCGGCGUAUAGAUUUCGGAGCGCAGCACAAAACGCGCUUUGUAACCCUUACGACGACGUCCAUCAAGCCUUUUUUUAACUCUUGACCUCGGAUCAGGUAGGGAUACCCGCUGAACUUAAGCAUAUCAAUAAGCGGAGGA